Molecule: long non-coding RNA, 746 nt
Filed under: Panax ginseng (ginseng)
Lineage: Eukaryota; Viridiplantae; Streptophyta; Magnoliopsida; Apiales; Araliaceae
Description: long non-coding RNA (PGIN_LNC014516)
Source: RNAcentral
ACAACUCUAAAACAACCUAUAUUAAGGAACUAAACGGAAGGAGUACUACACUUGCAUUACCGACCUAAGCACGCAAAACCAUGAUUCGAUUCUGUUUUCAAUUAAGUCAGCCAAUGCAUGGCGCGCAUAACAAUAGACGAAUUUGAAGAAAAAUUCGACAUACUUUUGAUAAUUACUUACAAUUACUAAUUAUAAUACCCUUCGUGUCUCCUUUUCCAGCUGAUGGUACCUGUGCAGACGUAUCACUAGAAUGCAUCUUCAUGAAUAUGCAAGAGAAACAGCCCUUCCUAGAUACUCUCUCCAUUCCUUAAUAUAAAUCUUUUUAGAGAAAUAUUUUUGUUCCUUAAUAUAAGUCGUUUGAGAAUUUCAAGUAAGCAUUAAUUGCUUAGUUUUCAAUAUUACCCUAAGUAUUAAAUGUAACUUUGGUUCUCUCACUAUUUUAUGUCCAAUAAAUAACAAUAUUUUAUUCCAAUACAAGGGUAAUAUAGACAAUUAAUAUUAUAGUUAAUACUAUACAAUUAUUUUCUUAAUACUUAUGCACAACUCUAAAAAGACUUAUAUUAAAGAAUGGAUGGAGUAUUAUUUUUGCUUCUUCAUCAACAACUUCAUUCAUAGCUCUUUCUUUUUCCACCUUUUCUUUAUGCUGCUUCCUCAUAACAUAAACUUCAGCAAGACUAUGUCCUACUGAUGCCAUGGGUAUGGCAAAGAGAACAAAGAACAAAUUUAUUGGGUUAUUCUAUUUUAUU